RNAcentral lists this ribosomal RNA (280 nucleotides) under uncultured bacterium. Its description in RNAcentral is "partial 16S ribosomal RNA". It matches the Rfam family "Bacterial small subunit ribosomal RNA", at positions 506 to 784 of the family's 1533-position model. The record is from RNAcentral.
UGCCAGCCGCCGCGGUAAUACGGAGGGUGCAAGCGUUAUCCGGAAUCAUUGGGUUUAAAGGGUGCGCAGGCGGUUUAUUAAGUCAGUGGUGAAAUUCCAGGGCUCAACCCUGGAACGCCGGCCGAUACUGCUGUGGCUAGAGUACGGUAGAGGAGCGCGGAAUUCCUGGUGUAGCGGUGAAAUGCGCAGAUAUCAGGAGGAACACCGAUGGCGAAGGCAGCGCUCUGGGCCGAAACUGACGCUGAGGGGCGAAAGCAAGGGGAGCAAACAGGAUUAGAUA